RNAcentral lists this ribosomal RNA (749 nucleotides) under Candidatus Phytoplasma pruni. RNAcentral's name for it is "bacterial SSU rRNA". It matches the Rfam family "Bacterial small subunit ribosomal RNA", at positions 193 to 955 of the family's 1533-position model. Lineage: Bacteria; Bacillati; Mycoplasmatota; Mollicutes; Acholeplasmatales; Acholeplasmataceae. The record is from RNAcentral.
AUCUUCUUUGAAGGUAUGCUUAAGGAGGGGCUUGCGACACAUUAGUUAGUUGGCAGGGUAAAGGCCUACCAAGACUAUGAUGUGUAGCUGGACUGAGAGGUUGAACAGCCACAUUGGGACUGAGACACGGCCCAAACUCCUACGGGAGGCAGCAGUAGGGAAUUUUCGGCAAUGGAGGAAACUCUGACCGAGCAACGCCGCGUGAACGAUGAAGUACCUCGGUAUGUAAAGUUCUUUUAUUAAGGAAGAAAAAAGAGUGGAAAAACUCCCUUGACGGUACUUAAUGAAUAAGCCCCGGCUAAUUAUGUGCCAGCAGCCGCGGUAAUACAUAAGGGGCGAGCGUUAUCCGGAAUUAUUGGGCGUAAAGGGUGCGUAGGCGGUUUAAUAAGUCUAUAGUUUAAUUUCAGUGCUUAACGCUGUUGUGCUAUAGAAACUGUUUUACUAGAGUGAGAUAGAGGCAAGCGGAAUUCCAUGUGUAGCGGUAAAAUGCGUAAAUAUAUGGAGGAACACCAGAGGCGUAGGCGGCUUGCUGGGUCUUUACUGACGCUGAGGCACGAAAGCGUGGGGAGCAAACAGGAUUAGAUACCCUGGUAGUCCACGCCGUAAACGAUGAGUACUAAGUGUCGGGUAAAACUGGUACUGAAGUUAACACAUUAAGUACUCCGCCUGAGUAGUACGUACGCAAGUAUGAAACUUAAAGGAAUUGACGGGACUCCGCACAAGCGGUGGAUCAUGUUGUUUAAUUCGAA